RNAcentral lists this small nuclear RNA (96 nucleotides) under Saimiri boliviensis boliviensis (Bolivian squirrel monkey). Lineage: Eukaryota; Metazoa; Chordata; Mammalia; Primates; Cebidae. The record is from RNAcentral.
GUGUUCACAUCAGCAACACAUAUACUAAAGUCAGAAUGAUACCAAGAGUAGCAUGGCAAGGGUGACAUGCAAAUUCAUCAAGUGUUCCAUUUUAUU